GGGGCCGCCCGGUUUUGACAGGAUGUGUGAUAACGUAUGCAAGCAUGCAGGCUCAUGGAAUGAGAGCCUCAAAAGAUAUUUCCAAACCAUACUUGGCGAGUCUAACUACGCCAUGGCUGCAUAAUCUAGCAAACCGCUAGGUUACGCCUCGUCCCGAUAAGAUCGGGAAAGCCAUCAUCGCUCAGCGCUGUCGUUUUGCAGGCGCUGGUUAGCGGUGUCGUCAUGCAGAACUGCUCCGUGUGAUGUUGCUAAGCACGGUUAAGACCAGUAACUACGGAGAAGUUUAGGCUGUUGCCUGCCUUGCUGUUCCCGACAACCUAAAGUCAACUAAGCAUGUAGAAAGUACGGUGUUAUCUUCUCUGGACGAGAGUUCGAAUCUCUCCGGCUCCACCU
Molecule: transfer-messenger RNA, 393 nt
Filed under: Betaproteobacteria bacterium
Lineage: Bacteria; Pseudomonadati; Pseudomonadota; Betaproteobacteria
Rfam family: transfer-messenger RNA
About the family: Bacterial tmRNA, also known as 10Sa RNA or SsrA, is named for its dual tRNA and mRNA-like properties. Its role is to liberate the mRNA from a stalled ribosome.
Source: RNAcentral